UACGUAGGGUGCGAGCGUUGUCCGGAAUUAUUGGGCGUAAAGGGCUCGUAGGCGGUUUGUCGCGUCGGGAGUGAAAUCAUCUGGCUUAACUGGGUGCUUGCUUUCGAUACGGGCAGACUAGAGGUAUGCAGGGGAGAACGGAAUUCCUGGUGUAGCGGUGGAAUGCGCAGAUAUCAGGAGGAACACCGGUGGCGAAGGCGGGUCUCUGGGCAGUAACUGACGCUGAGGAGCGAAAGCGUGGGGAGCGAACAGG
RNAcentral lists this ribosomal RNA (253 nucleotides) under uncultured bacterium. RNAcentral describes it as "partial 16S ribosomal RNA". It matches the Rfam family "Bacterial small subunit ribosomal RNA", at positions 524 to 776 of the family's 1533-position model. The record is from RNAcentral.